GAACUUUCCAGAGAUGGAUUGGUGCCUUCGGGAACUGUGAGACAGGUGCUGCAUGGCUGUCGUCAGCUCGUGUUGUGAAAUGUUGGGUUAAGUCCCGCAACGAGCGCAACCCUUAUCCUUUGUUGCCAGCGGUUAGGCCGGGAACUCAAAGGAGACUGCCAGUGAUAAACUGGAGGAAGGUGGGGAUGACGUCAAGUCAUCAUGGCCCUUACGACCAGGGCUACACACGUGCUACAAUGGCGCAUACAAAGAGAAGCGACCUCGCGAGAGCAAGCGGACCUCAUAAAGUGCGUCGUAGUCCGGAUUGGAGUCUGCAACUCGACUCCAUGAAGUCGGAAUCGCUAGUAAUCGUGGAUCAGAAUGCCACGGUGAAUACGUUCCCGGGCCUUGUACACACCGCCCGUCACACCAUGGGAGUGGGUUGCAAAAGAAGUAGGUAGCUUAACCUUCGGGAGGGCGCUUACCACUUUGUGAUUCAUGACUGGGGUGAAGUCGUAACAAGGUAACCGUAGGGGAACCUGCGGUUGGAUCACCUCCUUACCUGAAAGAA
Molecule: ribosomal RNA, 550 nt
Filed under: Salmonella enterica
Lineage: Bacteria; Pseudomonadati; Pseudomonadota; Gammaproteobacteria; Enterobacterales; Enterobacteriaceae
Also listed under: 1 other name
Description: partial 16S ribosomal RNA
Rfam family: Bacterial small subunit ribosomal RNA
Source: RNAcentral